Molecule: ribosomal RNA, 274 nt
Filed under: uncultured bacterium
Lineage: Bacteria
Description: partial 16S ribosomal RNA
Rfam family: Bacterial small subunit ribosomal RNA
Source: RNAcentral
AUACGAAGGGGGCUAGCGUUGUUCGGAUUUACUGGGCGUAAAGCGCGCGUAGGCGGAUUGGUCAGUUAGGGGUGAAAUCCCAGGGCUUAACCCUGGAACUGCCUCUAAUACUGCCAGUCUUGAGUUCGGGAGAGGUGAGUGGAAUUCCUAGUGUAGAGGUGAAAUUCGUAGAUAUUAGGAAGAACACCAGUGGCGAAGGCGGCUCACUGGCCCGAUACUGACGCUGAGGCGCGAAAGCGUGGGGAGCAAACAGGAUUAGAAACCCUUGUAGUCC